RNAcentral lists this ribosomal RNA (367 nucleotides) under uncultured Helicobacter sp. Its description in RNAcentral is "bacterial SSU rRNA". It matches the Rfam family "Bacterial small subunit ribosomal RNA", at positions 84 to 484 of the family's 1533-position model. The record is from RNAcentral. Lineage: Bacteria; Pseudomonadati; Campylobacterota; Epsilonproteobacteria; Campylobacterales; Helicobacteraceae.
UAGGUGGAUUAGUGGCGCACGGGUGAGUAACGCAUAGAUGACAUGCCCUUUAGUUUGGGAUAGCCACUAGAAAUGGUGAUUAAUACCAAAUACCACCCUACGGGGGAAAGAUUUAUCGCUAAAGGAUUGGUCUAUGUCCUAUCAGCUUGUUGGUGAGGUAAAGGCUCACCAAGGCGAUGACGGGUAUCCGGCCUGAGAGGGUGAACGGACACACUGGAACUGAGACACGGUCCAGACUCCUACGGGAGGCAGCAGUAGGGAAUAUUGCUCAAUGGGCGCAAGCCUGAAGCAGCAACGCCGCGUGGAGGAUGAAGGUUUUAGGAUUGUAAACUCCUUUUGUCAGAGAAGAUCAUGACGGUAUCUCACG